This 71-nucleotide transfer RNA is filed under the name Marmota monax (woodchuck). RNAcentral describes it as "tRNA.Ala". The record is from RNAcentral. Lineage: Eukaryota; Metazoa; Chordata; Mammalia; Rodentia; Sciuridae.
GGGGUUGUGGCUCAGAGGUAGAGUGCUUGCCUAGCAUGGAUGAGGCACUGGGUUCGAUAUUCAGCACCUCG